ACUUUCGAGGCUCCACUUAGCAAAAUUUUGCUGUUACUUUCGAUUAGCAAAAAGGAUUAUUUUACUAAUGUGAUAGCAAAAAGCAAAUUUUGCUUCUUUUUAGUAAUUAUAAAGGCAAUUUUACUUGAUAUUAGUAAAACGAAGGUUUUCUAGCCGCUUUGUUUAUAGACAGCAGCCGCCGCCAGUUGGGGGAAAAUAACAAACUGACGCGAUAAAGUGCGGUUCUGAAAGCGCGAUGCUGGUGGUCCUAGCGGUGGUAAAAUGAUAGCCAGAUCAAUUCCGGAUGCGUACAGGUUACUAUUUCCGACAAGAUUGACGGGUUUUUUUUACAACAGUUCGGAAGUGGACAACUGGAGUUUCAACGAACUGCAUCAGGCACAAUCAUCGAUGCAUGAAUGACGAUCGGUCGCUUGGGGUUUCAUUAGCCGGAAGGUGCGUUUCCAGGAUCCAAACAGUUUAUGAAAAGUGUUAGUGAAAAGUGUUUUGAAAAAUAUAAAUAAAUUCAAAGUGAU
This is a long non-coding RNA of Uranotaenia lowii, 512 nucleotides long. RefSeq lists it as uncharacterized. Lineage: Eukaryota; Metazoa; Arthropoda; Insecta; Diptera; Culicidae. The transcript has 2 exons. The record is from RefSeq and is a predicted model, not a curated record.